GAUGAACGCUGGCGGCGUGCCUAAUACAUGCAAGUCGAGCGAACGGACGAGAAGCUUGCUUUUCUGAUGUUAGCGGCGGACGGGUGAGUAACACGUGGAUAACCUACCUAUAAGACUGGGAUAACUUCGGGAAACCGGAGCUAAUACCGGAUAAUAUUUUGAACCGCAUGGUUCAAAAGUGAAAGACGGUCUUGCUGUCACUUAUAGAUGGAUCCGCGCUGCAUUAGCUAGUUGGUAAGGUAACGGCUUACCAAGGCAACGAUGCAUAGCCGACCUGAGAGGUUGAUCGGCCACACUGGAACUGAGACACGGUCCAGACUCCUACGGGAGGCAGCAGUAGGGAAUCUUCCGCAAUGGGCGAAAGCCUGACGGAGCAACGCCGCGUGGGUGAUGAAGGUCUUCGGAUCUUAAAACUCUGUUAUUAGGGAAGAACAUAUUCGUAAUUAACUGUGCACAUCUUGACGGUACCUAAUCAGAAAGCCACGGCUAACUACGUG
Molecule: ribosomal RNA, 497 nt
Filed under: uncultured bacterium
Lineage: Bacteria
Description: partial 16S ribosomal RNA
Rfam family: Bacterial small subunit ribosomal RNA
Source: RNAcentral